UUGGAGGGUAACUCUGGUGCCAGCAGCCGCGGUAAUUCCAGCUCCAAUAGCGUAUAUUAAAGUUGUUGCGGUUAAAACGUUCGUAGUUGAACUUGUGCUUCAUACGGGUAGUACAACAUACAUUUGUAGUGAGUACUAUACCUUUAUGUAUGUAAGCGUAUUAUCGGUGGAGUUCUUAUAUGUAAUUAAGUACUUGUACUUUUUUAUAUAUUCCUCCUAUUUAAAAACCUACAUUAGUGCUCUGAAUCGAGUGUUUUUGUGGGCCGGUACAAUUACUUUGAACAAAUUAGAGUGCUUAAAGCAGGCUCUGUUCUGCUUUCAUUGGUUUUCAGAUCAAGAGGUAAUAAUUAAUAGAAGCAGUUUGGGCGCAUUAGUAUUACGACUCGAGAGGUGAAAUUCUUGGAAUUCUUAUAUUGCCUUCAUUCAUGGUAGCAGUAAAAUGUUUAUUGUGUUUGAAUGUGUUUAUAUAAGUUGUAAGGGUGCGCUGUUUUAAACAUUA
RNAcentral lists this non-coding RNA (499 nucleotides) under Drosophila willistoni. RNAcentral's name for it is "Eukaryotic small subunit ribosomal RNA". It matches the Rfam family "Eukaryotic small subunit ribosomal RNA", at positions 548 to 975 of the family's 1831-position model. The record is from Rfam by way of RNAcentral. Lineage: Eukaryota; Metazoa; Arthropoda; Insecta; Diptera; Drosophilidae.